AUGGAGAGCACCAUGAAGGAGAUACGGGGAGGCGGGGCGCCGUGCGUGCUGGACAUGGACGACGCGGCGACGGUGGGCGGCGGCGUCGAGGACACCUACGGCGAGGACCGCGCCACCGAGGAGCAGCUCGUCACGCCGUGGACCGUCUCUGUCGCGAGUGGUUACAAUUUGUUGAGGGAUCCACGCUACAACAAGGGGCUUGCCUUCACAGAGAAGGAGCGCGAGACACACUACCUUCGUGGCCUUCUGCCACCAACCGUCAUAUCCCAGGAGCUGCAGGAGAGGAAGAUCAUGCAUAAUAUUCGCCAGUACCAGCUACCUCUGCAGCGUUACAUGGCUAUGAUGGACCUUCAAGAGGGGAAUGAGAGGCUUUUCUACAAGCUCCUCAUUGACAAUGUUGAGGAGCUGCUUCCUAUUGUGUACACUCCAACUGUUGGUGAGGCCUGCCAAAAGUACGGAUCUAUAUUUAGUCGUCCGCAGGGUCUUUACAUCAGCUUGAAAGAGAAGGGAAAGAUCCUUGAGGUGCUGAAGAACUGGCCUGAGAGGAGCAUUCAGGUUAUUGUCGUUACUGACGGUGAACGUAUUUUGGGGCUUGGAGAUCUUGGAUGCCAGGGAAUGGGGAUUCCUGUUGGUAAGCUUUCCCUUUACACUGCUCUAGGAGGGGUUCGUCCAUCUGCAUGCUUGCCAAUCACAUUGGAUGUUGGUACAAAUAAUGAGGAGCUUCUGAAUGAUGAAUUUUACAUUGGCUUGAGGCAAAGAAGGGCCAUUGGCCAGGAGUAUGCUGAUUUUCUGCAUGAAUUUAUGGCUGCUGUGAAGCAAAACUAUGGGGAGAAAGUUCUCAUUCAGUUUGAGGAUUUUGCAAACCACAAUGCCUUUGAUCUCCUUGCAAGAUAUGGAACAACCCACCUGGUAUUCAAUGAUGACAUUCAGGGAACAGCUUCGGUGGUCCUUGCUGGGCUUGUUGCAGCACUGAAAUUAGUUGGUGGUACAUUAGCAGAGCACACCUACCUGUUCUUAGGAGCUGGAGAGGCUGGGACAGGUAUUGCGGAGCUUAUAGCUCUUGAGAUGUCAAGACAGGUGACAAAAACACCAAUAGACGAAUGCCGCAAGAAAAUCUGGCUUGUUGAUUCAAAGGGCCUGAUUGUCAGUGCGCGAAAGGAGUCCCUUCAACACUUCAAGAAACCAUGGGCUCAUGAGCAUGAGCAUGUCGGCAACCUCUUAGAUGCAGUGAAUGCUAUCAAACCAACAGUGUUGAUUGGCACAUCUGGAAAGGGGCAGACUUUCACACAGGAGGUUGUUGAAGCCAUUUCCUCAUUUAAUGAGAUGCCUAUCAUUCUUGCCCUGUCCAACCCAACGUCGCAGGCUGAGUGCACUGCUGAACAAGCUUACACAUGGAGCAAGGGUCGAGCAGUGUUUGCAACUGGAAGCCCAUUUGAUCCAGUGGAGUACAAUGGCAAGAUAUAUGUUCCUGGCCAGGCAAACAAUGCAUAUAUCUUUCCAGGGUUUGGCCUUGGGGUGGUGAUGUCUGGGGCAAUCCGUGUGCAUGAUGACAUGCUUCUUGCAGCAUCGGAGGCUCUGGCUCAGCAGGUCACACAGGAGAAUUUUGACAAGGGGCUCAUUUAUCCCCCCUUCUCAAAUAUCAGAAAGAUCUGUGCUCACAUCGCGGCCAACGUUGCAGCAAAGGCAUAUGAACUUGGUUUGGCGAGUAGGCGCCCUCGACCGAAGGACCUGGUCAAGUAUGCAGAGAGCUGCAUGUACAGCCCGAUUUACCGCAAUUACCGGUGA
RNAcentral lists this ribosomal RNA (1785 nucleotides) under Triticum aestivum (bread wheat). RNAcentral's name for it is "partial small subunit ribosomal RNA". The record is from RNAcentral. Lineage: Eukaryota; Viridiplantae; Streptophyta; Magnoliopsida; Poales; Poaceae.